AUUUAUAUAGUUUAAAUAAAACAUUACAUUUUCAUUGUAAGAAUAAAAAUAUUAAUUUUUAUAAAUA
This 67-nucleotide transfer RNA is filed under the name Glenoleon pulchellus. RNAcentral's name for it is "tRNA-Glu". Lineage: Eukaryota; Metazoa; Arthropoda; Insecta; Neuroptera; Myrmeleontidae. The record is from RNAcentral.